Long non-coding RNA from Plodia interpunctella (Indianmeal moth), 748 nucleotides. RefSeq lists it as uncharacterized. NCBI's taxonomy places the organism in Eukaryota, Metazoa, Arthropoda, Insecta, Lepidoptera, Pyralidae. The record is from RefSeq and is a predicted model, not a curated record. The transcript is spliced from 2 exons.
AAUUUUGUUUUUUAUACUACGUCGUUUGAAGUACCGAGAAAGAUAUAGGUGAAACCUUUCAUACCGGAAGUAUAUAGGUACAUGUUCCCAUCAUCAAUAAAAGCCAUGUCAAUAUUGUUUUUCAAUUUAUCGAAGAACCUAUAAAUAGAAUAUACAUAUGUAUUUAUUAUAUAUAAAGGGUUAUUAAGACAAAUAUUGAUAUUUGAUUUUAUUGUGAUGUAGAUAAAAUCAAAAAAAUAAAAAAAUAUAUGUAAGACAAAUAACUAGGUACCUACAUAAGUACCUAUUGUUGAAAAUUUUACUUAAUCGAAGUAAUAAAAUUGUGAAACCAAAUAAAACAUAUUUCUGUCGAAAUAGUAGUUAAAAGGUAUUAAAACGUAGUGCACAUACAUUAUGGGGACUUCAACGUGUUUUUCAAUUUUAUUUUUGUUAUUUGUCAAUAUAAAUUAUACGUUUUCUGUGCUAUUUGAUUUAGCUAUGCCAAUAAUUGUGACUCCAGCGAAUGAAUACAUCAGAAGGAGCCCACAGAAUCGCCGUGUUCAGCCUUUAAAUGGUCGCAUUUUGCCAAUAGAAAACGACUUUGUACUGUCCUCGAAAUACAAAGUGCGGCCAAAAAAGAUAUUUUUGGAAAAGAGUCACAUAUUAAAGAAGUUCGAUAAGAAUAAGUAUUUAGGAAGUUUGAAAUGGAAUCGUGGAAGUGAUAUGGCUUUGUAAAUGUGUUUUUGAAAAAUAAAAUCGAUUAAUCAUA